Long non-coding RNA from Spinacia oleracea (spinach), 888 nucleotides. RefSeq lists it as uncharacterized. The record is from RefSeq and is a predicted model, not a curated record. NCBI's taxonomy places the organism in Eukaryota, Viridiplantae, Streptophyta, Magnoliopsida, Caryophyllales, Amaranthaceae. The transcript is spliced from 4 exons.
AUUCAAAUAAUUUUAGAAUUUGAUGUUGAAAAGAAUUUGAAUUACGAAAACACGAUUGAAAUUAGAAAACAAUCUUAAGCGGUGUUGAAUUCAAAUACCAAACGUAAUUCUAAUCCUAGCCCAAGUUAGCAAAGCCCAAAAUAAGUAAACCCACAUCCCUUACCCAUAUUCCAAAUUCAUGUAAAACUCUCAAUCCUCUCCUCUCCUUCACGUGAAAAGAAAAAGCAGAAAAACCCUCAAACCCUCUUCAAGAAUUCACGUGAACUCUCACACCUUAGUGCUCCCCUUGUCGCCGCCGUCCAGCCACCCACGCCGGACCACCGUCGUCCCUCGCCAGCCGCCGCCACGCACAACCACCGAGCACCGCCUUCUACACUCGUCGUUCCCCUCCACGCUGCGCCGCCCACCUGCAGCGCCUGUCCAAGCCGGCAACUCCCCCUCCUCCUCCUUGGAUUCGGUUUCCACUCUCUCCCCCCUAAUCGCAGUGCUUUUGGUUCGACCAUCAACCACCAGCAACCACCCGUGCCGACACCUGACCCGACCAGCGCCACCUCUGCUAGCCGCCGCUGUCCCCGCCGUGCCCUAGUCACCGCCGGCCAGCACUCCUCCUCCCCUUUUGGCGGAGAAUUCUUUGUGGGUGACUUUUGAAUUCGUUAAAGUGGCCUACCAGUUUGUUUACACAAGUCUCUAAGGAUCAAUAAGCAUUGUCCAUCUGCAGGUUUGAAGAUGUUGCAUCAUUGGGAUCGGGAAUAGAGAGCUUGUAUUUAGUUUUGAUUUGCUAUGAUAACUUGGGUUUGUUUAAUUGGACUUUAAACUUGUUAGUUGAUUGGUUUUGGGAUUAACUAUGUAAUCGAUUAUUUAUAAACCUAAAGUUAGUUUUAUGUUUUC